This 327-nucleotide ribosomal RNA is filed under the name uncultured bacterium. RNAcentral's name for it is "bacterial SSU rRNA". It matches the Rfam family "Bacterial small subunit ribosomal RNA", at positions 8 to 334 of the family's 1533-position model. The record is from RNAcentral.
AGGGUUUGAUUAUGGCUCAGGACGAACGCUGGCGGCGUGCUUAACACAUGCAAGUCGAACGGACGAGCACCCUUCGGGGUGUAAGUUAGUGGCGGACGGGUGAGUAACGCGUGAGUAACCUGCCUUGGAGUGGGGGAUAACACAGGGAAACUUGUGCUAAUACCGCAUAAGAUCAUAGGGUGGCAUCAUCCAGUGAUCAAAGAUUUAUUGCUCCAAGAUGGGCUCGCGUCCGAUUAGAUAGUUGGCGGGGUAAAGGCCCACCAAGUCGACGAUCGGUAGCCGGACUGAGAGGUUGGCCGGCCACAUUGGGACUGAGACACGGCCCAG